UGCAAGUCGAGCGGAAACGAAGAGGUGCUUGCACCUUUGGCGUCGAGCGGCGGACGGGUGAGUAAUGCUUGGGAAUAUGCCUUAUGGUGGGGGACAACAGUUGGAAACGACUGCUAAUACCGCAUAAUGUCUACGGACCAAAGUGGGGGACCUUCGGGCCUCACGCCAUAAGAUUAGCCCAAGUGGGAUUAGCUAGUUGGUGAGGUAAUGGCUCACCAAGGCGACGAUCCCUAGCUGGUUUGAGAGGAUGAUCAGCCACACUGGGACUGAGACACGGCCCAGACUCCUACGGGAGGCAGCAGUGGGGAAUAUUGCACAAUGGGCGCAAGCCUGAUGCAGCCAUGCCGCGUGUGUGAAGAAGGCCUUCGGGUUGUAAAGCACUUUCAGUAAGGAGGAAAGGUUAAGUGUUAAUAGCACUUAGCUGUGACGUUACUUACAGAAGAAGCACCGGCUAACUCCGUGCCAGCAGCCGCGGUAAUACGGAGGGUGCGAGCGUUAAUCGGAAUUACUGGGCGUAAAGCGUACGC
This 527-nucleotide ribosomal RNA is filed under the name uncultured bacterium. Its description in RNAcentral is "bacterial SSU rRNA". It matches the Rfam family "Bacterial small subunit ribosomal RNA", at positions 56 to 572 of the family's 1533-position model. The record is from RNAcentral.